Non-coding RNA from Oryza meridionalis, 119 nucleotides. NCBI's taxonomy places the organism in Eukaryota, Viridiplantae, Streptophyta, Magnoliopsida, Poales, Poaceae. The record is from Rfam.
ACACAGUGCAGUUUUGCACUAUUUAUGUCCAACGUUUGACCGUUCGUCUUAUUUGAAAACUUUUUCAAAUAAGAUGGACGGUCAAACAUUGGACACGGAUUUCUACGGCUACACUUAUU